RNAcentral lists this ribosomal RNA (253 nucleotides) under uncultured bacterium. RNAcentral's name for it is "partial 16S ribosomal RNA". It matches the Rfam family "Bacterial small subunit ribosomal RNA", at positions 524 to 776 of the family's 1533-position model. The record is from RNAcentral.
UACGAAGGGUGCAAGCGUUGCUCGGAAUUAUUGGGCGUAAAGCGCACGUAGGCGGCUGUGCAAGUCCGAUGUGAAAGCCCACGGCUUAACCGUGGAAGUGCAUCGGAAACUGCAAAGCUUGAGUACUAAAGAGGAUAGCGGAAUUCCCGGUGUAGAGGUGAAAUUCUUAGAUAUCGGGAGGAACACCAGUGGCGAAGGCGGCGAUCUGGGUAGAUACUGACGCUGAGGUGCGAAAGCGUGGGGAGCAAACAGG